UACGGGGGGAGCAAGCGUUGUUCGGAAUUACUGGGCGUAAAGCGCGUGUAGGCGGCCGACUAAGUCGGGGGUGAAAUCCACUGGCUCAACCAGUGAAGUGCCUUCGGGACUGGACGGCUUGAGUAUGGCAGAGGGAAGCGGAAUUCCAGGUGUAGCGGUGAAAUGCGUAGAUAUCUGGAAGAACACCGGUGGCGUAGGCGGCUUCCUGGGCCAAUACUGACGCUAAAGCGCGAAAGCCAGGGGAGCAAACGGG
RNAcentral lists this ribosomal RNA (253 nucleotides) under uncultured bacterium. RNAcentral's name for it is "partial 16S ribosomal RNA". It matches the Rfam family "Bacterial small subunit ribosomal RNA", at positions 524 to 776 of the family's 1533-position model. The record is from RNAcentral.